GACGAACGCUGGCGGCGUGCUUAACACAUGCAAGUCGAACGGAAAGGCCCUUCUUUUUUGGGUUGCUGUGGUGGCGAGGGGUUGGGUAGCCCAUGAUUAGCCUACCCUUGCCUUUGGUUUACCUUAAGCAAAUUGGGGUUAUUCCCGUAUGGGAGCUCCUGCUUCUGUGGGGGGGUGGGACUGUUUCGGCGGUUGGGGAUGGCCUCGCGGGUUUUCAGUUUGUUGUGGGGGUAGUGGCUUACAAAGGCUUGGACGGGUAGCCGGCCUGAGAGGGUGACCGGCCACAUUGGGACUGAGAUACGGCCCAGACUCGUACGGGAGGCAGCAGUGGGGAAUAUUGCAAAAUGGGCGGAAGGCGGAUGCAGCAACGCCGCGUGCGGGAUGACGGCCUUCGGGUUGUAAACCGCUUUCGCCUGCGACGAAGCGGGAGUGACGGUAAUGGGUAAAGAAGCACCGGCUAACUACGUG
This 468-nucleotide ribosomal RNA is filed under the name uncultured bacterium. RNAcentral's name for it is "partial 16S ribosomal RNA". It matches the Rfam family "Bacterial small subunit ribosomal RNA", at positions 28 to 507 of the family's 1533-position model. The record is from RNAcentral.